Molecule: non-coding RNA, 243 nt
Organism: Camelina sativa (false flax)
Lineage: Eukaryota; Viridiplantae; Streptophyta; Magnoliopsida; Brassicales; Brassicaceae
Source: RefSeq, a predicted model, not a curated record
CUUGCUCUUCUGGCAAUUCUCAGGAGUGGUGAAAUCAAAGUCAUAGACAGCAUAUCGGCACUCGUCCUCUGGAAUAGAUCCGGUGAAAUCGUCAAUUUGAGCUUGCACUCAUCGCUUACAUGCAUCCCAGAAGCUGAGUUAGCCUGCACAAUCGAACACACGCAUAGUGAACUAAUAUGAUCACAACAUAUUACAUGAUUGAUUGAUUGAUUGGUGAUACCAUAUAUAUAAAAAAAAAAAAAA